UAAAGAAUAUGUCAAAAUCAAAAUGUCAAAAUUGAAUUGCCAAAAUGAAAAAUGCUUCGUCCAUCUCAAAACAGCAUAGAACCCCUGUUUCCAGUUCAUCAGAGAGUUCCGAAAAUGAGACACCUUUAUUUUACUGUUUGCAAGAAAAAUCAAAGGACAGAUGUGGCCAGCAAUGAAAUUGGGAAAAUCGAUCUAUAUAAAAAAUGGAUAUCGCGUUUAUUUUUUUCGUAGCAAAGCAGUACUUGAUAUGGAACCCAAAAACACCAUAAGUCAUUUUCAAAUUCUGAUAGAUGAAGAAGUGAGUUUUCGACAUGAUGGAUUCAAAAAAGGAACAGUAGAGAAUAUAAGUAUAGGAAAGAAGACAGAAAUUCCUUAUUUCAACAUAGCAGUCAAAGGUACAACUUAUCGCAUAUCCUUUUUUAAUGUUUUCUUGACCAAGAAACAGGCUAAAGAAGUUCUCAUGAAAUAUUAAAUGAAACAACUUUUUGUGAGAAUAAAAUUUUGAAAAAGCUGGAACUCAAAAUGUUUAUCACAUUUAUAUCAAAUAUAAAUAGUUUUGUGAAAAAUUA
Molecule: long non-coding RNA, 569 nt
Organism: Leptinotarsa decemlineata (Colorado potato beetle)
Lineage: Eukaryota; Metazoa; Arthropoda; Insecta; Coleoptera; Chrysomelidae
Source: RefSeq, a predicted model, not a curated record